Non-coding RNA from Trichonephila inaurata madagascariensis, 77 nucleotides. Lineage: Eukaryota; Metazoa; Arthropoda; Arachnida; Araneae; Nephilidae. The record is from the annotation of a GenBank genome assembly.
GAGUUGCCCAGUGGGACAACGGAUAACGCGCCUGACUACGGUUCAGGAGAUUCCAGGUUCAAAUCCUGGCUGGCUCG